CCUACGGGAGGCAGCAGUGGGGAAUAUUGGGCAAUGGGCGCAAGCCUGACCCAGCAACGCCGCGUGAAGGAAGAAGGCUUUCGGGUUGUAAACUUCUUUUGUCAGGGACGAAGCAAGUGACGGUACCCGACGAAUAAGCCACGGCUAACUACGUGCCAGCAGCCGCGGCAAUACGUAGGUGGCAAGCGUGAUUCGUAUUUACGGGGUGUAAAGGGCGUGUAGGCGGGACGUCAAGUCAGAUGUGAAAACCACGGGCUCAACCUGUGGCCUGCAUUUGAAACUGUAGUUCUUGAGUACUGGAGAGGCAGACGGAAUUCGUAGUGUAGCGGUGAAAUGCGGAGAUAAUAGGAGGAACACCAGUGGCGAAGGCGGUCUGCUGGACAGCAACUGACGCUGAGGCGCGAAAGCGUGGGGAGCAAACAGGAUUAGAUACCCGUGUAGUC
Molecule: ribosomal RNA, 443 nt
Filed under: uncultured bacterium
Lineage: Bacteria
Description: partial 16S ribosomal RNA
Rfam family: Bacterial small subunit ribosomal RNA
Source: RNAcentral